UACGGAGGAUGCAAGCGUUAUCCGGAUUCACUGGGCUUAAAGGGUGCGUAGGCGGAUAUGUAAGUCCGUGGUGAAAUCUCUGGGCUUAACCCGGAAACUGCCAUGGAUACUAUGUGUCUUGAAUGUUGUUGAGGUGAGCGGAAUAUGUCAUGUAGCGGUGAAAUGCUUAGAUAUGACAUAGAACACCAAUUGCGAAGGCAGCUCACUAAGCAAAUAUUGACGCUGAGGCACGAAAGCGUGGGGAUCAAACAGG
This 253-nucleotide ribosomal RNA is filed under the name uncultured bacterium. RNAcentral's name for it is "partial 16S ribosomal RNA". It matches the Rfam family "Bacterial small subunit ribosomal RNA", at positions 524 to 776 of the family's 1533-position model. The record is from RNAcentral.